GCGACCUCAGUUCGGAUUGAAGGCUGAAAUUCGCCUUCAUGAAGUCGGAAUUGCUAGUAAUGGCAGGUCAGCAUACUGCCGUGAAUACGUUCCCGGGCCUUGUACACACCGCCCGUCACACCAUGAGAGUUGGAGAUACCCGAAGCCUAUGAGCUAACUUUUAGAGGCAGUAGUCGAAGGUAGAAUCAAUGAUUGGGGUGAAGUCGUAACAAGGUACC
Molecule: ribosomal RNA, 218 nt
Filed under: uncultured bacterium
Lineage: Bacteria
Description: partial 16S ribosomal RNA
Rfam family: Bacterial small subunit ribosomal RNA
Source: RNAcentral